RNAcentral lists this ribosomal RNA (468 nucleotides) under uncultured bacterium. RNAcentral's name for it is "partial 16S ribosomal RNA". It matches the Rfam family "Bacterial small subunit ribosomal RNA", at positions 28 to 507 of the family's 1533-position model. The record is from RNAcentral.
GACGAACGCUGGCGGCGUGCUUAACACAUGCAAGUCGAACGGAAAGGCCCUGCUUUUGUGGGGUGCUCGAGUGGCGAACGGGUGAGUAACACGUGAGUAACCUGCCCUUGACUUUGGGAUAACUUCAGGAAACUGGGGCUAAUACCGGAUAGGAGCUCCUGCUUCAUGGUGGGGGUUGGAAAGUUUCGGCGGUUGGGGAUGGACUCGCGGCUUAUCAGCUUGUUGGUGUGGUAGUGGCUUACCAAGGCUUUGACGGGUAGCCGGCCUGAGAGGGUGACCGGCCACAUUGGGACUGAGAUACGGCCCAGACUCCUACGGGAGGCAGCAGUGGGGAAUAUUGCACAAUGGGCGGAAGCCUGAUGCAGCAACGCCGCGUGCGGGAUGACGGCCUUCGGGUUGUAAACCGCUUUCGCCUGUGACGAAGCGUGAGUGACGGUAAUGGGUAAAGAAGCACCGGCUAACUACGUG